RNAcentral lists this long non-coding RNA (300 nucleotides) under Oryza brachyantha (malo sina). RNAcentral's name for it is "long non-coding RNA (OBRA_LNC000940)". Lineage: Eukaryota; Viridiplantae; Streptophyta; Magnoliopsida; Poales; Poaceae. The record is from RNAcentral.
GUUGGGCUAUUCGUAUGAGAAAACAUUGAUUUUCGCAGACCCCUAGGUGUAGACGGGCGAGACCUCCACACGGGAAGAUGUAUUUUGACAGCACGAAAAAAAUUUAAUUUCUUGUAGUGUUUGGUGAUUGUGUGGUCUGAUAUCAGCUGCUGUGACGCCUCGGUGCACGGAGAUCUCACCAAUGGUAACGUGUGCGAGCUGCAGGACUUUUAUGCAGAAAUCAGAGCGGGUGUGCACAAUUCCAGAUGACACUCAUUCCUAGCCAAUUCAAAUUUUAGUUGCUGCCCAACCGGUGAGUCC